CACACAGUUUAACAUGAUGGACUAUAGGACAGGACUGCUGCUGCUCACUGUCUGCUGGGCAGGUGUUGGUGGUCAGACUCUGACAGAAUCUGAACCAGAGACUAAAAGGCCUGGAGAAUCUCACAGAUUGACCUGUACAGCCUCUGGAUUCACAUUCAGUAGCUCCUACAUGGCCUGGGUCAGACAGGCUCCUGGAAAAGGACUGGAGUGGAUAGCUUAUAUCAGCACAGAUAGUUCUCCGAUCUCUUACUCCCAGUCGGUCCAGGGUAGAUUCACUAUCUCCAGAGAUGACUCCAGCAGUAAAGUGUAUCUGCAGAUGAACAGUCUGAAGGCCGAGGACACAGCAGUGUAUUACUGUGCCAGAAGACACAGUGAGAGACAGUAACAGGGGAGUCGUACAAAAACUACUUCCUCUAUUUACCACCACCCAUGAGAGCAUUCACUUUAUAUUGAAAUACUUAUUAACUGAAUAUUGACAUCCUAUUUCAUCUAAUUUGACGCAAUGUUUAAUUCAGUUGCAACCUGAAGAAAUCUAGUGAAUUCUAACUGAAAAAUUGUAUGUUUUGAAGGAAAUAUGUAUUUUUGUGUCUUUUGUGCCUCCAACUAAAUGUAUCAUAGAUAAUAUAAAAAUGUCCCAUUUCAAACAA
Non-coding RNA from Gymnodraco acuticeps, 647 nucleotides. The record is from the annotation of a RefSeq genome assembly. Lineage: Eukaryota; Metazoa; Chordata; Actinopteri; Perciformes; Bathydraconidae.